Molecule: ribosomal RNA, 253 nt
Filed under: uncultured bacterium
Lineage: Bacteria
Description: partial 16S ribosomal RNA
Rfam family: Bacterial small subunit ribosomal RNA
Source: RNAcentral
GACGUAGGAUGCGAGCGUUGUUCGGAAUUAUUGGGCGUAAAGCGCGCGUAGGCGGCUACUUAAGUCGGAUGUGAAAGCCCUUGGCUCAACUGAGGAAGUGCACCCGAAACUGAGUGGCUAGAGUACGAAAGAGGGUCGCGGAAUUCCCGGUGUAGAGGUGAAAUUCGUAGAUAUCGGGAGGAACACCGGUGGCGAAGGCGGCGACCUGGGUCGAUACUGACGCUGAUGCGCGAAAGCGUGGGGAGCAAACAGG